This 400-nucleotide ribosomal RNA is filed under the name uncultured bacterium. RNAcentral's name for it is "bacterial SSU rRNA". It matches the Rfam family "Bacterial small subunit ribosomal RNA", at positions 362 to 776 of the family's 1533-position model. The record is from RNAcentral.
UAUUGGACAAUGGGGGGAACCCUGAUCCAGCGACGCCGCGUGAGUGAAGAAGUAUUUCGGUAUGUAAAGCUCUAUCAGCAGGGAAGAAAGAAAUGACGGUACCUGACUAAGAAGCCCCGGCUAACUACGUGCCAGCAGCCGCGGUAAUACGUAGGGGGCAAGCGUUAUCCGGAUUUACUGGGUGUAAAGGGAGCGUAGACGGCGUGCCAAGUCUGGUGUGAAAGGCCGGGGCUCAACCCCGGGACUGCAUUGGAAACUGGCAUGCUGGAGUGCCGGAGGGGCAAGCGGAAUUCCUAGUGUAGCGGUGAAAUGCGUAGAUAUUAGGAGGAACACCGGUGGCGAAGGCGGCUUGCUGGACGGUAACUGACGUUGAGGCUCGAAAGCGUGGGGAGCAAACAGG